Molecule: non-coding RNA, 2086 nt
Organism: Punica granatum (pomegranate)
Lineage: Eukaryota; Viridiplantae; Streptophyta; Magnoliopsida; Myrtales; Lythraceae
Source: RefSeq, a predicted model, not a curated record
UAAAUAUAAUUAUUUAUAGUUAAAAUUUAUAGUUGAAAUGAAAUUGAGUUUUCAGGAAAGCGAAGGUUAGCUUUGUGGAUAUUGAAUUUGUUCUUACAAAUAAAGUUUUGUUUUUGUCCUUUUUGUUUUGUUUUCAUUUUUUGGACAAAUUGCUCAGAAUCAAAUAUGUAAGCCCCAGGGAGUUGAACUGAUCCAAAAAUGCAAAUUUGAUAGUCGAAUUUGGAUUCGGCAGUUUGAAUUGUCACAAAUUAAUAUCUGAAUCCGACCCUCUUCCCAAAAUAUUGGUUACGGACUAUCCUUGCUCGUAAGCAAAUUGACAUCGGGAUCCUACUUAUUAUUAAGUAUAUGAAUUGGGACUAUUCUCCCAUUAUGAAAGAGGCGCCACAAUCACUUGGAAGUUGGCUCUAUUUCCUCAAUUCAAAAUGGAAGGUGACUGUAAUCUUGACAGUGUAUAACCAACGGGUCUUAUAUGACAUGAAUAAAAUCUUACCUAAAUCGUCAUUGCAUCUGAAUCACGUCGUAAAACUGAUAUAUAUAACAUGAAUACCAGUGGUCACAUGAUCGGCAGUAGAUCAGAGCCAACGCAAAUAUCCCUGUUGCAGCACUCCUUACCAGGUUUUCCAUAUUACUGGGCCCCAAGUAUUUAGAUCAUGGUUCUUAGAAUCAUGAUUCAAGGAGGGUCAUGCGAUUCCGAUACAAUAAGCUGAAUCGAAAACUGUAGAAUCGCAUCUGAAUCGUGCCGUGAAUCGCAGAAUCGGGCUGAUUCGUCGAUUCCGGAUUAGGCCCAAACUCGGGCAAAGGGCAAGCCUGAUUUGGGCCCUUGGGCGAAGGCUAGGCCAGAGUGGGCUGAAACCCAGCCCAUUGGCCCUGAGCCCGACGAGUCAACGACUUUUUUUUUUCCCUCUCUCUCCCCCCUCCUUUCCCUUUCUUCUCCAGUGCUCCUCCUUUCUCCCAACAGUCCCAACAUUUCUAUGCCCUAAUCCACCGGACCUCUGACUCUCCACCAAGCUUCAACAAUUUCUUCAGAUUCUCUGUGCCGGGUUCUCUUGUUCAGUUGUUCAAACUCCGACGCGCUUGAAGCUCCGGCUGCUUCGCAGAUCCGAAUUCCACAGUUCCGACUUCCGACUUCCGCCAUUUCUUCGGCAGUUCCGACAGCCAUUUCAUCCGACUUCCACCAUUUCUCCCUGAGCUUCAACCUCCCAAGCAACACAGCUCAGUUGCUUGCUUUGCUCUGCCCGAGGUUUGACCCGUCGAGUGUCCAUUAUCCAGACUCCAGGAAUCGGACUUUUACGUCUCGUGACAUUCUUUCUCUAGAGCUACACCUUUCUAUCGAAGAUCCAGCUGAAUGGAAUAGUAGGCGAUUCCUUGGCCUGCCGCUGGGCUCUCUCCUCAAGCCUCCGGAUUCUUGAAGGCAACCCGCAGACGUAAUCCUGAGCCCUCCUUCCCUCGCCUGAAAGUACUGUCAGCUUCUCGACUUUCCACCUCCCCACCAAGAACUCCAAGAUAUCAGCAUAGUCCUUGGUUGUGUACACCCCAAGCCUCUGGGCCACUUCUGAGUAGUGCUUGAAGAGAUCGUCAUCCCGGCCAUCAAACAUCAAGUGGGCAGGCAUCGAGAUCUUCUUCCUCAUCAUAUCGGCAAGGCCAUGAUCGUACCAUCGGGGUCGAUCUCAAAGAGCUUCUCGACUAUCUUGGUAUAUGCAGUCUCGUGGCGCUUCUCAUCGGAAGCGAUGGUCCCGCAUAUCUGAGCCAAUUUUGGGUCUCCGUGGUUCUCGGCGAGCCUUGCGGUGUUCCCAUGACAUAUGAAGGUCGCACGUUCUUGGAAAGUGGUGUAGAUGAAGCCGAGAUAAGGGUUGUUUUCCGUCCUAGGAUCCUAUAAAGCCACAAAAGAGACCAAAGAGUCAGGGGCGGAGCCAUUAAGGCUUCAGGGGGGGCAAUUGCUCUCCCUGACUUUUCCAUGUGUUGAAGAUUUCACAUACAAAUUUAUAAAAAUUUCAACUUUUGCCCCUAAAAAAUCAAUGCCCCCUAAAUUAUUUUAUUAUUUGACUUUUGCCACAAAACUUUUAAUUCCACCGCCCCUUGAACAUUA